CCGUGCUAGGUGGGGAAUUAGCGGUGCCUUGUUACCUGCAAUCCGCUAUAGCAGGAUCGAUGCUCGAGUGAGGUUGUUUCUACUCAAUUUGGUAUUAAAGAGAUAGUGUUGAUACUCUGGCCUGUUGCAAUGUGCUGAUUGUUGAACCUCGUCAGGUCUGGAAAGAAGCAGCGAUAAGGCUCUUGGUGCAUGUGCUUGCAGUCACUAGUGUGGAGCUAGGAACUUU
Molecule: signal recognition particle RNA, 226 nt
Filed under: marine eukaryotic metagenome
Description: Bacterial large signal recognition particle RNA
Rfam family: Bacterial large signal recognition particle RNA
About the family: The signal recognition particle (SRP) is a universally conserved ribonucleoprotein involved in the co-translational targeting of proteins to membranes. Archaeal SRP consists of a 7S RNA and homologues of the eukaryotic SRP19 and SRP54 proteins.
Source: RNAcentral